This 30895-nucleotide long non-coding RNA is filed under the name Gossypium raimondii (Peruvian cotton). Its description in RNAcentral is "long non-coding RNA (GRAI_LNC009774)". The stretch from base 28716 to 28802 matches the Rfam family "MIR7486 microRNA precursor family". Lineage: Eukaryota; Viridiplantae; Streptophyta; Magnoliopsida; Malvales; Malvaceae. The record is from RNAcentral.
UUGACCAACCUUCACAUUUACAAGAUCAACAAGUUCAGUAUCUUCAUCGUUGCUCUUCAUUUCAAAAGAUUCAUCACGUUCAUUCUUCACAGGAAGGAAUUCAAAGUAAGCCAUGUUAGGGAGUAAUGUGUAGGAGAUAUCAUAAGGUUUGCAUAGAGGUUCUAAGUUAAGCCCACAAAAAGUUUCCGAGCAAGCAUAGAAAGCUGAAACUAAAGGGAGCCCUCGGCAAUAGAACUCAAGUUCUGUAGUAUACUGUCUCAUAGCGCCAGUACAAAUACAACCAAUAUACCGUGCUUUAGUCCAUAGCUUUCUGAUUAUUCCUUCCCAUGAUUUAUAAUUGCAUAUGCUCUCUAUCAAGUCAGCUUGCUCUGGAUUAGGCUUCAUGAUCAAUGAUGCUGCAUUUCUGCAUCCUGAGUCGGUGAUCCAAUCGCUUAAUCGACCUGUUUUUAUGUCAUAGCAUAGCUCUUGCCAGUGAUUUUCUAGAAACUUGAUACCUCUUAGCACCGUAGAUGCAAAGAGUGAACCAACCUUGACAACCUCGUCUCGUUGGAUUAAACCAAAAAGUAAUUGACAGUAUAAGCCCUGGUUGGGGUCUGGGCAAAAGAUGGUCUCAAUGGGGCUUGUGUAAAGCUUAGGCAAAUUGGUUCUAAACUUACUCUCGCUGUACAUCCUCGUUGAAAAAGUUGCUGCCUUGAGGCCACUAGGAGUUUCAAUCUCUGGUCUGGCAAACAUAAGCUCCAUUCUUUUACCGGCUUGGUUGAUGUCACCGAAGUGCCUUUAAAAUUAGACGGAUAAAGGCUUGUUUAAAAUGAUAUGACUUUAAUUAAUGAAAAUUAGAAAUUUUAUUACAUUUGUGUAUGUAAGGAAAUCACAUAUUUAGAAUAUAAAGACUUGUUUAAAAAUAAUAUACAAUAAAUAAUUUAGAACUAAUUAUUAGUAACACGUGAAAUAUCUGUGAUAUUAAAAUAAAAUAAAAAAUAGAUUAAGUUGUGAGUAAUAUGAAAUUUAAACAUAAAAACACAUCAGAUUAAAAAUACUAAAUUAAUAUAAUUGUUUAUCAUUGUUGUGUUAUCAGUCCUGAGUUGGUGUUUUGUUAAUUUGUGACAAUAACUCAAUCAAGAACAUUGUUAACAAGAAAUUCUAUCAAACAUGUAUGCAUGUGGAAAUUGCGUAUUUAGAAUACAAUAUAUACAAUUGAUGGAGGUAAUAAAUUGUGCAUAAUAAAAUUAAAACGUAUAAAGAAAUAAAAAAAAAGUUUGGUUGAGUGGUAAAUUUAAAGCUGUACCAAUGCAAUUGGUGUGGAUUCAAAUCUCACAAUAUGAAUAGAUUUUAUUAAAAAACUAAAAUAUCGUUAAAUAAUAUAAUUUAUUUUAAGUACGGAAUUUUAUUUUUAUAAUUUUCCUAACUAAACAUGUGGUGCUCAGUUAACAUGUGACACCAACUUAAUUAAGGAGUUUAAUACAAAAAAUUAAAAAAUAUAUAUUCUUGUUUGAAAGCUAAAAUUAUAUAUAUUUUUUAAGGAAGCUAAAAUAUUAUUAUAUCAUAGAAAAUAAUGCUAUAUUGUAUAAUAUUUAAAUAUAUAAUAAACUUAUAUUAGUACUAUGCAUAAGUAUACAUAUUUAAAUAAAUAAUGAUAUUGUAAUAUAUAUAUAUAUAAUAUAUUGGGUUAAUAUUUGGUAUAUUAGUAGUGAGUUUAUUUUAUUUUACAAAUAAUUAAAAAAAUUCAUGUCUUUUUUUUUAAAUAUUUAUUUUCUUUAAUAUUUUAUUAUAUCCUAUAUAAUAUGGAUCAACCUGUUAACAUUACUUGUAGAGUCUAAAAACUCUACUCGCAACGUGUCAAAUAUUUUCCCUAAUACAUUUAAUAUAUUAUAAUAUGUUUAAUAUCAGUUGCGAAUUAAAUAUAUCAUUAAUAUAAUGUUUUAUUUAAUAUUAAAAUGGAUUAUUAUCCUAUCAGAGUUUGAAUCUUCUAAUUAACAAUAUAAUUUAAUAGUUCACUUUAAGCAAAAGUGUUCAUGAUUUUAGCUUAAAUAUGAUAUUACCGUAUUUUAUAUUUAUCUAAGUUUAGCCCGAUUUGAAAUAUGGAUUUAAAAUUGUCCAAGCUCCCUAUAGUUAUAAAUGUUUAACUUAAGUUUACUUUUAUUUUUUGGAAUUUUUUAAUAUAUAUUAUUUUUAUCUAAUAUUUAAUAUUUUUAUAUAUUUUUUAUUUAUUAAAAUUUUAUACAUAAUUAUCUUAAUAUUUACAUUAUAAUAUUAUAUAUGAGUUAGUAUUGGGUUGUCUUUAUUGAGGAGAAUGUUUUUAAAGAAAAAACUAUACAAAUAGUUAAUUAUAAAAAAAUUCAUUUUAGACACUAAAAAAUAUUUACAGUUUAAACACCCACGUUACCUAGUUUGGCCAUUUUGGUCCCUCCCGUUAAAAUCACCAACAGAAGGCUGAUGUGGCAAUUAAAAGAAUUGGUAUAAAAAUAAAUUUAGCCCUUAACAUAUUAUAUCAAUUUAGUAAUUAAUAUAAUUAUAUUUAUUUAAUAUUAAUAUUAUUAAUAUAGAUUUUAAAUUUAUUAUUGUUAUAAAUAUUUUUUUAUUAGGUGGAUGUCCAUCAAUAUCAAGAUAAAUUUUAUGUACUUCAAGACUCUUAAGACUAAUUAGAAGUAGAGUUUAUUUCAUUUAUAUGUAUUAUGUCUAUAAAUAUGGAUUUUGGAACAACAUUGUACACAUCUCCAUUGAUCAAUAAAAAUAUGCAUUUCUCUUUGUUCUCCUAUUUCUUUUUUUUACUUUUAUUAUUAUUAUUUAUUUAAUAACAAUUAUUAUAAUUUUUUGAAAAUAUUUAUGUUUUUUUUUUAUUUUUUUUAGAAAUAAGAUUAAAUUGAGAUUGUAAAUUUUGAGGGUUAACGUUUUAAAAUUAUGACUAAAUUGAUAUAAUAUGUAAAAAUUUAAAACUAAAUUUAUUAUUAUACCAAAUUUUUUAACUACCACGCCAACAUUUGUGAUUUUAACUGGGACCGAACUAACUAUAUAAUGUGAUUGCUUAACUAACAAUUUUUUAUUUUGAACUUUUAAUUGGUAGAUGAGUAACUACGUAGUUUACCUGUAUCUUUUUAUUUAAUCGGAGAAGUAAGCCGCAAUUUAUUGUUAAUGGCAACUCUAGGCAGGGAUUUUUAUCCGUAAUUGAGCAAUGAGUAAAAGGUUUGAUUUCACAUGCAGCUGAAUGAAAAACUGAAGAAAAGAAAUUGAUAUGGGUUCAUACCUCAUCGUCGGAGACUCGCUGAAGGUUCCAACUAAUGGCCCCUUCUUAAGAUAUUCAGCAGUGACAGGAAUCAGCUUUGGCUGCCCGCCUGAAGUCCCAGAGCUGCAUUUGAUCAAACAGAUGAUAGAACUAUUAGAAGGAAGCAAACAAUACCCCAAAACACACAGAAGCAAAGCAACAAAUUCAUGCAUGCCUUAGAUAGAACCCUGUAACGGGUUCAGCUACAAGGAUAUCUGAUGUCUCCCCAUUAGCAAUCCUAUCUAUGUAAGGCUUGAGAUCUUCAUACGUAACUAUGGGAACAUGUUUCUUAAAGAGCUGCUUCUCGGUUUGCCCAUGGAGGAAUCCCCUUAAAUACUCUGUUCCUGCAUUUCUACUUAGUAUUUCCCCCAAUUCCUGGUCUUGAAUUUGCUCAGCAUUUGUGGUCAGUUCCUCAAUCAUCUUCAACCCACCUUCGUACCCAUUCGUUGCCAUCAACCCUAUUACUGAGAUCCACACAGCUUUUUCUGUUUUCUUUUUGGGGAUGCUCUGGCUAUUGGCAAUGGAAUCUCUACCUACGCUAAAUAUAAUAAGAUUCAUGGGACUUGACCCACACAUGUCAGCACGCAUAAUAAACAAUGUGGCAUCAAUGAAAUGAUUAAAACAUGAAUUAGUAAUAUAUUAAAUAUAUUAAAACUAAGCAUGUGAAAGUUGAAUUUAAUGGAAUUGAGUACUAAUUUUACGCCGAAAGUGGUUUAGUUGAUUUUUAAAUGUGAAACAUGUUUUAUUAAUAUUAAAAUAACCAACAUACAUUGUGCUUGGUAUAGAUCAAAUGGAUAAUAGAAAUUUUUUAUCUGUUUGCAGACAAUUUUCUUCCUUUGGUUUGCAUUAUCUGGUUGGAUGUUUCGAUGCUUAAUAUUUGCCACAUGGAUACUACCAUUUGCUCAUUGCUGGACCUCUUCUCAUUGGGACUGUUGCCAAUAAUCUUGUUAUUAAGGUAUCACUUACUGCUAUAAGAUGGCGUAUGUAAUGCAAGACAUAAGGGAUGACUUCUGCAACAUGCGUUCAUCCUUCCCAUAACAUGAUUUAAAUUGUUUAGUUUUUUAUCACUUGUUUUUUACUUGUAAAAGGCGACACUGGGUAAGCUUUUUCCAUAACAUGUGGAAUCGUAUGAUCAUUUAUUUGGUAUAGUAGUAGGGAAUUUAUUUAUUUUUACAAGUAAUUAUAAAAAAAUUAUCAUUUAUCUUUUUUUAUUAAAUAUUUUAUUAUACCUGAUUGUGGAGUUUAAAAACUCUACUUGCAAUGUGCCAAAAUUUUUCUCUAAUAUGUUUAAUAUCAGUUACGAAUUAAAUAUAUCAUUAAUUAAAAUGAAUUGUGAUCCUAUCAGAGUUUUGAAUCUUCUAAUCAACAAUAUAAUUUAAUAGUUCACUUUAAGUAGAAGUGUUCAUGAGUUUGACUUAAAUAUGAUAUCGACAAAUUUUAUAUUUAUCUAAGUUUAGCUCGACUUGAAAUAUGGAUUUAAAAUUGUCUAAGCUCGUCUAUAUUUGUAAAUGUUUAACUUAAGUUCAUUUUAAGUUUACUUAUAUUUUUUGAAAUUUUUAAAAAAUACAUAUUAUUUUUAUUUAAUAUUCAAUAUUUUUAUAUAUAAUUAUCUUACUAUUUUUUUAAUAUUUACAUUAUAAUAUUAUAUAUGAGUUAGUAUUUGGUACACUAAUAUUGUACUUUUUUUAAAAAAUAUUUAUUUUUUAAUGUUUUAUCAUACUCCUAUAGGCUAUAAGACACUUGACAACUCUUACCUUAUUUGUGAAGUCUAAAAACUUCACUCGUAGUGUACCAAUUAUUUUCUCAUUAUAUAUAUUACUAUACAUUUAAUUUUUAAACACUGAAAUUUAUUUAGAACUUUCAAAAAGAAAAAAACAAAUAAUCACUUAAUUAUAAAAAGAAAAAAAGAAAAUCAUUUUAGACAUUAAGAAAAAGUUUACAAUUUAAACAUCCAUGUUACCUAGUUUGACCGUUUUGGUUCUUCUCGUUAAAAUCACAAAUGGAAUGCUGACGUAGCAAUUAAAAAAGUCGAUAUAAUAUCCAGUUUAUCCCUCAACAUAUGAUAUUAAUUUAGUUAUAAUUUUAAAAGAUUAAACCUUAAAAUUUACAAAUAGACUCAAUUUCAUCCUGAUUCUAAAAAAGUUCAACGAAAUAUAUAAAAAUACAUAAAUAUUUUUAAGAAAUAUAAUCUAAAAUUCUAAGUAUGUCUUGUUUAGGGAAGUUGUCCUUUUUUUCCUUUUUAGAGAAUUAUUUUGGGGUUUUAAUUUCAUUAGAGAAUUCUCUAUAAGGCAAUUCAAACAUUCUUAGUAAAUUAAAAUUUUUCUUUCUUUCCAUAGCCUCUACAACCAAGGAAGGGAGGGAGGGAGGUGGGAGAUUUUUAUUUUAUUUAAUAAUUAAUAUUACUAAUAUAAAUAUAAAUUUUAAAUUUAUUAUUAUUAUAAAUAUUUUUUUAUUAGGUGGGGAUUUCCAUCAGUAUCAAUAUAAGUUUGAUGUACUUCAAGACUCUAAGAUUAAUUAGAAGUAGAGUUUAUUUCAUUUAUAUGUCUUAUGUGUUAUGUCUAUAAAUAUAGAUUUUGGUUGUGAUGAAUAUACGAGAAAUUGUUGAAUGCCCUAGGAUGAUUUAGAUAUAGUUGACAUGUCAAUAAAAACUAUUAGCAAUAUCACGUCUAUUUCGUGUACGGGAUUAAUUAAGUAUGAGAUGUGUAUAAUAUGGAGAUUGAUAUUGCACUUUUGUGCUCAUUUGGUGUAGUGGAGGUUAAUGCCAUGUUUGUAAUGAUAUGUGCUAUCGAGGGAAGGAUUCUAUGAUACGAUUGCACUUUAUGCACUUGGUGUGGUGUAAUUUUGUAUUGUAUGUGCUAUAUGGUGCGGUGGUUUAAUUGUUUCGUAUAUUCGAUUUUCGAAUUAAUUACAGCAAAUAAAUGAGUAAAGAUAAAGUUCAUCGAUGAACUUAUACAAAUUGCUAACUGAAGGGGCAUAGACAUGUUUAAAAGACAAGUUGAACGAGCAUGAAGAUUAAAGAUAAUGUUCAUCGAUUUUUCCAACAUCCCAUAUGAGUGAAUCUCGAUGUACUUAGAAACAUUUCACUGCACCUGUGAAUCUCAAAGGACUUUAUUAGCUUCCAAGAUAUCAUGUAGCAAAGCUGACAUGGUAUGUUUAUCUGAUUGUAUGUCCCUACUUAACAUUUCAGACAUUAACACAUGCCUACACAAUAAAGUGAAAAGGAUUAUUCUCCUGAGCUUUUAAACAAGAAAUGAUGCAAACUAAUUAUAACGGUGGUUUGGGGCUGAAAUACGUUCCUAUCACUCUCGAAUCUAAUAUCUUCAAGGCUUCCUCAGAUUUAAUGCAACUAGGUUUUUUGUAUUGGCUCAAUGAAGUUCCUUUGGACACAAAAUAAUCCAUUAGUGCCUCAAAACUUCCUUGCUUUACCACCCUAAUCUCCAGAGCUGCAAUUAUGUUCCUUUUCCUAUAGAUUUUAUAUGUAUAAUGCAAUGACUCUUCCAUUCUAGAGCAACACUCUACCAUUAUCUUUGGGUCAAGCUCUUUGCAAUGCUUCCCUUCUUUUCCCUUGAUCUCCCAAAAUAAGACAUAGUGACCUGGUGCUGAAGAAGUAUCAACAUAGCUAGUGUACUCUGUCAAGAUGAAUCCGAGUGGAUCGAGAAGAGCCUUUGCUUCUGUCACAGCCUUGAAAAGGUCUGUUUCGCUUGUUUUUUCCUGAUCAACACUUAGGAGAACAUUUUUCCUCUCCACAAAUUGGAAUUGAGGUGCAUUAUUGUAGAAACCACUCACCAUAAGAACAUCUCCUACUUUAUAUCGAUAUAAUCCUGAAAGGAAUAUCAUCAAACUAGAUUAGAUCAUUAUCUAACAGGUUACUGUAGAAGCUAGGAAGCAUAAUUCAAAAUCAGAACAUGGCAUUUGAUUAAUUGGUUAUAUUCAAAAGAGGAGCUUUUACCUGCACAAGUUGUGACAACUAGUUCAUAACAUUGGCCAGCCUUCACAUUUACAAGAUCAACAAGUUCAGUAUCUUCAUCGUUGCUCUUCAUUUCAAAAGAUUCAUCACGUUCAUUCUUCACAGGAAGGAAUUCAAAGUAAGCCACGUUAGGGAGUAAUGUGUAGGAGACAUCACAAGGUUUGCAUAGAGGUUCUAAGUUAAGCCCACAAAAAGCUUCCGAGCAAGCAUAGAAAGCUGAAACUAAAGGGAGCCCUCGGCAAUAGAACUCAAGUUCUGUAGUAUACUGUCUCAUAGCGCCAGUACAAAUACAACCAAUAUACCUUGCUUUAGUCCAUAGCUUUCUGAUUAUUCCUUCCCAUGAUUUAUAAUUGCAUAUGCUCUCUAUCAAGUCAGCUUGCUCUGGAUUAGGCUUCAUGAUCAAUGAUGCUGCAUUUCUGCAUCCUGAGUCGGUGAUCCAAUCGCUUAAUCGACCUGUUUUUAUAUCAUAGCAUAGCUCUUGCCAGUGAUUUUCUAGAAACUUGAUACCUCUUAGCACCGUAGAUGCAAAGAGUGAACCAACCAUGACAACCUCGUCUCGUUGGAUUAAACCAAAAAGUAAUUGACAGUAUAAGCCCUGGUUGGGGUCUGGGCAAAAGAUGGUCUCAAUGGGGCUUGUGUAAAGCUUAGGCAAAUUGGUUCUAAACUUACUCUCGUUGUAUAUGCUCGUUGAAACAGAUGCUGCCUUGAGGCCACUAGGAGUUUCAAUCUCUGGUCUGGCAAACAUAAGCUCCAUUCUUUUACCGGCUUGGUUGAUGUCACCGAAGUGCCUUUAAAAUUAGACGGAUAAAGGCUUGUUUAAAAUGAUAUGACUUUAAUUAAUGAAAAUUAGAAAUUUUAUUACAUUUGUAUACAUAAGGAAAUCACAUAUUUAGAAUAUAAAGACUUGUUUAAAAAUAAUAUACAAUAAAUAAUUUAGAACUAAUUAUUAGUAACACGUGAAAUAUCUGUGAUAUUAAAAUAAAAUAAAAAAUAGAUUCAGUUGUGAGUAAAAUGAAAUUUAAACAUAAAAACACAUCAGAUUAAAAAUACUAAAUUAAGGGUCUGUUUGAUUGCCAGUAAAAUAUUUUCCGUAAAAUGAUUUCUGGAAAAUGUUUUACUUUUCUGUAAAAUGAUUUACUGAAAAAUAUUUUCUGGUGUUUGAUUGAAUCUGUGUAAAAUAUUUUCUGCUGCUUGGCAGAUUUUUUGAAAAUAUUUUUCGGAAAAGUUGUUUUUACAUAUAUUAAUAUAUAUUAAUAAAUUUUUAUAUUUUAAAUUAUUUUUACAUAUAUUGCAAUGAUUUAUUUAUAAUAAUACUCAAUUAUUAAGCUACAAUAUUAAUCGUUAUAAAUUGAAAAAACUAAUACCAAAUAAAUUAUUUGUAAUUGUGUUAAAAAAACAAGUAUUGAAUAAUUAAAAAAACAAGUUACUGGAAAAUCGAUAAACAGAAGCAGUUUUCUACCGGAAAUGAAGGAAGGAAUGAAGGAGGCGAUAGAGAGGAGAGCACGGAAAAUGUCUUACGGAAAUUGAAAGGGUAAGACAUUUUCCCUAAAAUGUAACCUAUUUUCCCUUGUUUUGGAGUUCAUUUUCCAAAUGGAAAAUGUUUUCCGCCAAUCAAACGCUGGAAAAGUUGGAAAUGAUUUUCCGGAAAAUCAAUUCCGUCAAUCAAACAGACCCUAAUAUAAUUGUUUAUCAUUGUUGUGUUAUCAGUCCUGAGUUGGUGUUUUGUUAAUUUGUGACAAUAACUCAAUCAAGAACAUUGUUAAUAAGGGAGGGUUCGGGUAAAAAUAUAGGCCCGAAAUAUGGGCUUUGGCAAAAAAGCGAGGCCCGUUUAAAAAAUGGGCCGGGCUCGAGCUCAACUUUUUUGGCCCGGGGCCGGCCCGAAUAUAAUAAAUAUUUUUUUAUUUUUAUUUUUAUUUUUUAAUUUUAAAAUACUUUAAAAAUAUUUUUAUAAUAUUUUUAUUAUUUUUUAUUUUUUAAAAUAUUUUUUUUGUGUUUAUUAAAAACCGGGCCAGGCUCGGGCUUAUUAUUUUUUUCCCGGGCCGGGCCUAGGCAAAAUUUCAGGCCCAUAUUUCGGGCCAGGUCAGGCCCGGGCCUAAGAGUCGGGCCGAAUUUUUUUCCCGGGCCCCGCCCGAACUCGGCUCGGCCCGGCCCAUGGACAGGCCUAGUUUGGAUUCAAAUCUCACAAUAUGAAUAGAUUUUAUUAAAAAGGUAAAAUAUCGUUAAAUAAUAUAAUUUAUUUUAAGUACGGAAUUUUAUUUUUAUAAUUUUCCUAACUAAACAUGUGGUGCUCAGUUAACAUGUGACACCAAUUUAAUUAAGGAAUUUAUUAAUUAGUAUAAAUACAAAAAAUUAAAAAAUAUAUUCUUGUUUGAAAGCUAAAAUUAUAUAUAUUUUUAGGGAAGCUAAAAUAUUAUUAUAUCAUAGAAAAUAAUGCUAUAUUGUAUAAUAUUUAAAUAUAUAAUAAACUUAUAUUAGUACUAUGCAUAAGUAAUAUAUAUAAUAUAUUGGGUUAAUAUUUGGUAUAUUAGUAGUGAGCUUAUUUUAUUUUACAAAUAAUUAAAAAAAAUUCAUUUGUCUUUUUUUUUAAUAUUUAUUUUUUUAAUAUUUUAUUAUAUCCUAUAUAAUAUGUAUCAACCUGUUAACCUUACUUGUAGAGUCUAAAAACUCUACUUGCAACGUGCCAAAUAUUUUCCCUAAUACAUUUAAUAUAUUAUAACAUGUUUAAUAUCAGUUGCGAAUUAAAUAUAUCAUUAAUAUAAUGUUUUAUUUAAUAUUAAAAUGGAUUAUUAUCCUAUCAGAGUUUGAAUCUUCUAAUCAACAAUAUAAUUUAAUAGUUCACUUUAAGCAAAAGUGUUCAUGAUUUUAGCUUAAAUAUGAUAUUAACGAAUUUUAUAUUUAUCUAAGUUUAGCCCGAUUUGAAAUAUGGAUUUAAAAUUGUCCAAGCUCCCCUAUAAUUGUAAAUGUUUAACUUAAGUUUACUUUUAUUUUUUGGAAUUUUUUAAUAUAUAUUAUUUUAUCUAAUAUUUAAUAUUUUAUAUAUAUUUUUAUUUAUUAAAAUUUUAUACAUAAUUAUCUUAAUAUUUACAUUAUAAUAUUAUAUAUGAGUUAGUAUUGGGCUGUCUUUAUUGAGGAGAACUUUUUUAAAGAAAAAACUAUACAAAUAGUUACUCAGUUAUAAAAAAAUUCAUUUUAGACACUAAAAAAUAUUUACAAUUUGAACACCCACGAUACCUAGUUCGGCCAUUUUGGUCCCUCUCGUUAAAAUCACCAACAGAAGGCUGAUGUGGCAAUUAAAAGAAUUGGUGUAAUAAUAAAUUUAGCCCUUAACAUAUUAUAUCAAUUUAGUAAUUAAUAUAAUUAUAUUUAUUUAAUAUUAAUAUUAUUAAUAUAAAUUUUAAAUUUAUUAUUGUUAUAAAUAUUUUUUUAUUAGGUGGAUGUCCAUCAAUAUCAAGAUAAAUUUUAUGUACUUCAAGACUCUUAAGACUAAUUAGAAGUAGAGUUUAUUUCAUUUAUAUGUAUUAUGUCUAUAAAUAUGGAUUUUGGAACAACAUUGUACACAUCUCCAUUGAUCAAUAAAAAUAUGCAUUUCUCUUUGUUCUCCUAUUUCUUUUCUUUCUUUUUUUACUUUUAUUAUUAUUAUUUAUUUAAUAACAAUUAUUAUAAUUUUUUGAAAAUAUUUAUGUUUUAUUUUUAUUUUUUUAGAAUUAAGAUCAAAUUGAGAUUGUAAAUUUUGAGGGUUAAUGUUUUAAAAUUAUGACUAAAUUGAUAUAAUAUGUAAAAAUUUAGGGCUAAAUUUAUUAUUAUACCGAUUUUUUUAACUACCAUGCUAACAUUUGUGAUUUUAAUUUUAACGGGAGCGAACAAAAUAGCCUAACUGAUUGCUUAACUAACAAUUUUUUUAUUUAUUUUUUAUUUUGAACUUUUAAUUGUUAGAUGAGUAACUACGUAGUUUACCUCUAUCUUUUUAUUUAAUCGGAGAAGUAAACCGCAAUUUAUUGUUAAUGGCAACUCUAGGCAAGGGAUUUUUAUCCGUAAUUGAGCAAUGAGUAAAAGGUUUGAUUUCACAUGCAGCUGAAUGAAAAACUGAAAAAAAGAAAUUGAUAUGGGUUCAUACCUCAUCAUCGGAGACUGGCCGAAGGUUCUAACUAAUGCCCCCUUCUUAUGAUAUUCAGCACUGACAGGAAUCAUCUUUGGCUGCCCGCCUGAAGUCCCAGAGCUGCAUUUGAUCAAACAGAUGAUAGAACUAUUAGAAGGAAGCAAACAAUACCCCAAAACACACAGAAGCAAAGCAACAAAUUCAUGCAUGCCUUAGAUAGAACCCUGUAACGGGUUCAGCUACAAGGAUAUCUGAUGUCUCCCCAUUAGCAAUCCUAUCUAUGUAAGGCUUGAGAUCUUCAUACGUAACUAUGGGAACAUGUUUCUUAAAGAGCUGCUUCUCGGUUUGACCAUGGAGGAAUCCCCUUAAAUACUCUGUUCCUGCAUUUCUACUUAGUAUUUCCCCCAAUUCCUGGUCUUGAAUUUGCUCAGCAUUUGUGGUCAGUUCCUCAAUCAUCUUCAACCCACCUUCAUACCCAUUCGUUGCCAUCAACCCUAUUACUGAGAUCCACACAGCAUUUUCUGUUUUCUUUUUGGGGAUGCUCUGGCUAUUGGCAAUGGAAUCUCUACCUACGCUAAAUAUAAUAAGAUUCAUGGGACUUGACCCACACAUGUCGGCAGGCAUAAUAAACAAUGAGGCAUCAGUGAAAUGAUUAAAACAUGAAUAUGUAAUAUAUUGAAACUAAGCAUGAGAAAGUUGAAUUUAAUGGAAUUGAGUACCAAUUUAUGCCUCUUCCAAUCUUCAAAAGCCAAUGUAACAACUAAUUUUACGCCGAAAGUGGUUUAGUUGAUUUUUAAAUAAUAUGUUUUUUAAUAUAUAUUGACUAAAGUGCUCUUUGCUGUCUUUCGACGGAAAUAAUUCAAACAAUUCUUAUUUAAAUAAUGAAUGUGAAACAUGCUUUAUUAAUAUUAAAAUAAAUAUAAUUAUAUUUUAAAAGAGAAUGCUUGUAGUCAUUCAUAUGUAGGUGGCCUAUUCACAAAGAUGGACGGACAAUACUUUUCUGAAGUGAGCGGGUGAUUCGUUUACAACAGUAAACACUUAUUUUAAGAAAAAGGAGGCAUGUCUUCAAAGAUAUGGGUUAUUUGAUAACUACUCAGAUAGUAAGAAAUAGAGAACUACCUUCUCAAAUGACUUGCAAUACUAACUCGUGUCCAUAACUAAAUAGGUAUAAUCAACUUCCUUUUCUUUUAAUUAUAUUUAAAGUGACUGCCAUUUUUAGAAUUAAGUUUUAAUAAUAAAUUAUAUUAAUUAAUAAAUACAAUCAAAUAAAUAUUAUUUUAAUUUACAUUUUUUAAACAAGUAAAUGUAUUGUUUUUUCUCAUUUUAGUUAGAAAUAAAAUAAGGGAUUAAUUUCUGGUAAAAAUAUAAUUUUUUGUACCUUUAUUUCAUUUUUAAUAAUUUACAAUAAUAAAAUAUAUAAUUUUAUAUUAUUAAUUCGUAUACUUAAUUCAUUCUCUAAUUUAUUUACGUUUGUAAAUUAUGAAUAUAAUUCAAUAAAAAAUAAAAAAAUUAAUUUUAGUAAUCAGCAUAAUAUAAAAUUUUAGUAUUAGCUUAACCAGAAUGUAAAAGAUUAAAAAAUAUUUUUUUUAUUUUCUUGGAUGGAUUAUAAGAGGAGGGUAAAAUUUUAACAGCAACACGACUUGAACUUAAAUCACACUUAGAGCGAUGAACAUCAUUGUCAUUAGGCCAACACAGGGGAUUCUUAGAAACAAUUUUUUAAUCACUCGUAGCAUAUAUUUCAAAUGUAAAAGGAAAAGAGAAGAAAAUGAAAAUAAAAAAUCAUCACCAAAAUAACACCAACAUUGCAAUAGGCAACCCAGUGUUAGCUUACAUACAAUAUUUUAAUAUACAUAUGUUUUGCUGGAAAACUUGCUUUGUAUCUCCCUUACCAAAUAUAUGAAUAUUUGACUGAUAAAAUAUUAUAUUAUACAAUCAAAUUAGGGAAUUUUUUUUUCUGAAAGAACUGUGGCUAACCCUAAAAAAUUGGGAUUGUAGGUUUUUUUAGAAUAGGAUUUUUAUUUAUGCAAGAUUUGGCUAACCCCUGAAAAGUGCCUCCAAAUUGCCCUCGAAUCUCCAUCCAAAAGCCUUGUUUAUUGCCCCAUUGCUUUCCUCCAAAAUAUUGCUGGUCCAUCGUCAAAAUAGCCGCUGAUCGCUCGCUCAAAUAGUUGUCGAUAUUGGAUAUCGGUUAGCUAAGUUAAAUUAGGUGUUUAAUUUCUUGUGAUAUAUUUGGUUUUUAAUUUCAAAGUAGAGUUAGAUAUAUAUAUAUUUGGUAGUUUAAAAUGUAUUAGAUUACUAUUAAGUUGUAAACUACUUAGCGUUUGGAUUUUUAAUUUCAUACAUCAAAUAUAGAUGAUUCGUAAGUUCAGAUCGAGCAACAUCACUAAAGAGUCCUCGCAAUCCUUAGUUUGUCACGAUGUUUUCACUUAGUUUAGCUUUGGCAUGUACUUAGGUCCAUCGGAUUUGUGAGUUAUUUUUAUAUUGGUUAAAUAUUUAGUUUAAGGAAAGCGAUCUUUGCGUGUUUGAAUUGAACGAUUAAUUUAUUCGAGCUUUUUAGUUUUAAAUUUGAUAAUUAAAUUUGUUAAAAUGAAUUAAUUUGUUAAUCGCAUUAAUUGAAUGAUUGAUCGAGUCCGAAUUUGACUGGACUCUCAAGUCAAGUUUGAGGUGUAACAAUUAAUCCCCAAAAUUGAUCGUAUGUAAGAAGGCUUUAGCUUCCUUCACCUUCCCACUUUUACAUAAACCUUUAAUGACCAUGUUGUGCACGAUAGUUUUACACUUCAAACCUUGCGUCUCUACAUAAUCCCAGAGAUUGAUCACCUCUUCUGUAAGAGCAGUUCUAGCUAAGCCCCUAACAAAGACACCGUAAGAAACAAUAUCAAAGGCUUGUGACUAUUCUCCAUUAUCUCCUUGAACAAGUUCAAUGCAUCUUUAGCUAUACCUUGAAGAAAAUAUCCAUUGAUUAAAGUGGUUUAGUAAAUAAUAUCAGGGGGAAAUUACCCCUUAUCUCAUCAAUCAAUCCUACAACUUCUUCCACUUUACCUACCUUAUAGAGAGCAUCAGCCACUACGUUAAGAAAUAUCCCAAAUAUGUUCUUCCAUGCAUAUAAAGCCCUUCGAUAUAGCCAUAUCAACUUUCCCACAAUGUAUCAAACGAUUCAUAAGAAAAUUGCAUGAGAAUACGCGUGCAAGGGUAACAAUUGCUUGCCUUUGAGUUCGAAACAACAUAUUAAUAACUUUACCAAACAUUAAUGUAUGCCUACACAAUAAAGUGAAAAGGAUUAUUCUCCUGACUUUUUCUUCAUAGGAAGGAUUAGGUAAUUUUAAACAAGAACUGAUGCAAACUAACUAUAACGGUGAUUUGGGGCUAAAAUACUUUCCUAUAACUCUCGAAUCUAAUAUAUUCAAGGCUUCCUCAGAUUUAAUGCAACUAGGUUUUUUGUAUUGGCUCAUUGAAGUUCCUUUGGACACAUAGUAAUCCAUUAGUGCCUCAAAACUUUCUUGCUUUACCACCCUAAUCUCCAAAGCUGCAAUUAUGUUCCUUUCCCUAUAGAUUUUAUAUGUAUAAUGCAAUGACUCUUCCAUUCUAGAGCAACACUCUACCAUUAUCUUUGGGUCAAGUUCUUUGCAAUGCUUGCCUUCUUUUCCCUUGAUCUCCCAAAAUAAGACAUAGUGACCUGGUGCUGAAGAAGUAUCAACGUAGCUAGUGUACUCUGUCAAGAUGAAUCCCAGUGGAUCGAGAAGAGCCUUUGCUUCUGUCACAGCCUUGAAAAGGUCUGUUUCGCUUGUUUUUUCCUGAUCAACACUUAGAAUAACAUUUUUCCUCUCCACAAAUUGGAAUUGAGGUGCAUUAUUGUAGAAACCACUCACCAUAAGAACAUCUCCAACUUUAUAUCGAUAUAAUCCUGAAAGAAAGAAAGAAAGGAAUAUCAUCAAACUAGAUUAGAUCAUUAUCUAACAGGUUAAUGUAGGAACUAGGAAGCAUAAUGCAAAUUAGAACAUGGCAUUUGAUUAAUUGAUUAUAUUCAAAACAGGAACUUUUACCUGCACAGGUUGUGACAACUAGUUCAUAACACUGACCAGCCUUCACAUUUACAAGAUCAACAAGUUCAGUAUCUUCAUUGUUGCUCUUCAUUUCAAUAGAUCCAUCACCUUCAUUCUUUACUGGAAGGAAUUCGAAGUAAGCCAUGUUAGGGAGAAAUGUGUAGGAGACAUCACAAGGUUUGCGUAGAGGUUCUAAGUUAAUCCCACAAAUAGCUUCCGAGCAAGCAUAUAAAGCUGAAACUAAAGGGAGCCCUCUGCAAUAGAACUCGAGUUCUGUAGUAUACUGUCUCAUAAUGCCAGUACAAAUGCACCAAAUAUACCUUGCUUUAGGCCAUAACUUUCUGAUUAUUCCUUCCCAUGAUUUACAAUUACAUAUAGUUUCUAUCAAGUCAGCCUGUUCUGGAUUAGGCUUCAUGACCAAUGAUGCUGCAUUUCUGCAUCCUGAGUCGGUGAUCCAAUCGCUUAAUCGACCUGUUUUUAUGUCAUAGCAUAGCUCUUGCCAGUGAUUUUCUAGAAACUUGAUACCUCUUAACACUGUAGAUGCAAAGACUGAACCAACCUUGACAACCUCGUCUCGUUGGAUUAAACCAAAAAGUAAUUGACAGUAUAAGCCCUGGUUGGGGUCUGGGCAAAAGAUGGUCUCAACGGGGCUUGUGUAAAGCUUAGGCAAAUUGGCUCUAAAAUUACACUCGUUGUAUAUGCUCGUUGAAACAGAUGCUGCCUUGAGGCCACUAGGAGUUUCAAUCUCUGGUCUGGCAAACAUAAGCUCCAGUCCUUUACCGGCUUGGUUGAUGUCACCAAAGUGCCUUUAAAAUUAGACGGAUAAAGGCAAAUAGUUAGUUUUAGGACUAAGUUGCCGUUGUAAAUGCAAAAAGCAAGAAAAGCAACUAUGUAUAUAAUAGCUAUAUAUGUACAAGUAGUAUUUACUAAAUACGGGUGUUACUAUCUGCGUGGUAUAUUAUACAUAUAUGCAUAUUAUAUGCAUUUGCUUAAUCUGGUAACUUUUAUACAUAUAUUCACAAGCAGCUGAAAGAAAAACUAGAAGAAAAUAGGGAUGGGUUCCUUACUUCAUCGCAGGAGACUCGUACAAGCCACGAAAUAAUUCCCACUUAUUAACAACUUGAGCAGUGACAGGCAUCAGCUUUGGCUGCCCGCCUGAAGUCCCAGAGCUGCAUUUGAUCAAACAGAUGAUAGAACUAUUAGAAGGAACCAAACAGUACCCCGAAACACACAGAAACAAAGCAACAAAUUCAUGCAUGCCUUAAAAAGAACCCUGUAAUGGGUUCAGCUAAAAGGAUAUCUGAUGUCUCCCCAUUAGCAAUCCUAUCUAUGUAAGGCUUGAGAUCUUCAUAAGUAACUAUGGGAACAUUUUUCUUAAAGAGCUGCUUCUCGGUUUGACCAUGGAGGAAUCCCCUUAAAUACUCUGUUCCUGCAUUUCGACUUAGUAUUUCCCCCAAUACCUCUUCUUGAAUUUGCUCAGCAUUUGUGGUCAGUUCCUCAAUCAUCUUCAACUCUCCUUCAUACCCAUUCGCUGCCAUCAACCCUAUUACUGAGAUCCAGACAGCUUUUUCUGUUUUCUUUUUGGGGAUGUUCUAGCUAUUGGCAAUGGAAUCUCUACCUACGCUAAAUAUAAUAAGAGAUUCAUGGGACUUGACCCACACAUGUCGGCAGGCAUAAUAAACAAUGUGGCAUCAAUGAAAUGAUUAAAACGUGAAUUAGUAAUAUAUUAAAACUAAGCGUGGAUAUAAAAUAAUUAUAAGAAAGUUGUAUUUAAUGGAAUUGAGUACCAAUUUAUGCCUCUUCCAAUCUUCAAAAGCCAAUGUAACAGCUAAUUUUACGCCGAAAGUGGUGUAGUUGAUAUGAUUUAUAUAAUUUUGUGUCAUCAAUUAUAUCUUACUUUGUUUAAGGCUUUGUUUGUUUACCUGUAAAAUAUGUUAAGGAAAAUAUUUACAUCUUUUUUCACUGUUUGUUUGAUAGAAAAUGAAUUCUCACCGUAAAACCUUCUCCAAAACACGAGAAAAGAAGGCUUUAUUUUAGGAAAAUAUCUAAACAUUUUCAUUUGGUAAGACAUUUUCCAAAAUUUUUUUCUUAAGCAGUAAACUAACCCAAAGCCUCUUUCCAAUUCCCCCUUCCUUCCCACUCUGGUCUAGUGCUUGCAGUCAGCCAGCAACGGUUCCCAACACCAGUCAUCGGCAUUCACCUUUGAUUUUCCUUCUUUUUGCCUUUCGUUGUCGAAAUUUCCACUGCACCAAUCAACGAUGGUGUUCAUCUUCCUCUCUCGAAGGUAAGAAUGAAAAAAAGGAAGAAAUAUGUGGUUGUUUUUUAGUAGCAACAUGUUGUUUUGGCCCAAUUGGUUGCUGGUUAAUCCCUCUUUUAUAUUUUUUUAUGGUUUUUGUUAUUUUUACGUUUCAUCUUCCUUGAACUGUGCAAGCUGGAUUCUUGUUGGUGGUAAUGGAAUAAUUAAGAUAUGGUAAUGGUGGUGGUGGCUGAGGCACAACUAAUGAGCAAAAACUCAAAGUCUUUAAGUUCACACAUUAUUUGUUCAAAAUGAGAUUAGUGGGCAUGAUUUUGUUUUCUUCCCUUUCUUUUUUCUUCCAAUAGAAAUCAAUUUUGUUUUCCCCUCUUUCUUGGGGUAAAAAAGAACCUUUUUUUCUUAUAUAAAUAAUUGAUUAGCUCGAAUUUUGACCCAUUAUGGUACAUUUUCUCUAUUUACCCUUCUCUAAUAAUUGAUCUAAUGAAUCAAUUGCAUGUUUUUUCUUCUCUUUUUGUAUUCAUUUCGAUGAAUUAUUGUAAACUUUUAGGUAAUUCAGAUUCGUAAUGCAACAAGAUUUUGGUUAGUAAUUUCCUGAUAAUCUGCUGCAGAAGUUAUGGGUGUUAUUGUCUUGGACAUAAUUUUGUUUUAAGUUAAAAUGAUCUGUGUUGACACCAAUUUUUUGACAAUACGGGAUCGACUUGGAUUUUGAAAAUGAAAAUGAAAAUGGGAGUCGCUACCAAUCCUUUUUGAUGAGGUGUAAUCGGAAGACGUCGAAAAGUAAUUGUUUUUAAUAAGCGAUUUGAUUUUAUUAAAACAAUGAUUUUGGUCUACGAAAUUCAGAAAAAUAGGUUCGGGAGUCGGUUACGUACGAAAUUAGUGUCUUAAUGUCGAAGAUUGAAAAUUUUGAAAAGUUUUAAAAAUACAAUCCUUAAAAAAAACUCGAAUAACAUGGGUUAGAAUUUAGGAUUCUCUUGUUCUGAAAAAAUAUCACAUCCAGCACGUUAGGAUACGAUACUUUAAACCCUCGAAACCAAGAUCACCUUAUGGUUUUCAAAACCAAUACUUUGAAAUUUUAAGAGUAUAUUUGACUAUUUGGUCAAACGAGAAAUCGAAACUCAGCACGUUACGGCACGUUUUCUCAAAUUUUCAAACGCAAAAUAUUACAUUAUUUAGAAAAAUUUCCUUUUUUGAAUUUGGAUAAAAAUUAUGAAAUAUUUAAAAAUAAUAUAUAUACAAUUUGAAUAUAUUAUUUAAAAAAUUUACUUGAAAUGAAAAGGGGUCAUACAUAACUAAUAGUAAAUAACCAUAACAUGACAUGCAUAAUAGAAUAAUUAUAUAGCCUUAAUACUAACAAACCCUAAUGCAAACAUACAUGAAUAAAAGUAAUGAUACAAAUGGCAAUAUAUUAGUAACAGCAAUAACGACGACAACCAUAAAAAUAACGAGCCCAAAGUUUUGAAAGCAUAUAAAAAAAUAGCAAAUAAAUAAAUAAAUAAAUAAAUAAAUAAUGGAAUAACAUGGCACUAAUGAUGGUAAAAAUAAUAUAAACAAGCCAAUCAGAUAAUAAUAAUAAUAAUAAAAUAAAAAACUAAUAUAAGUUAGAUUAAAAGUUAAAGACAAGUAAAUAAAUAAAUAAAUAAAUAAAAUGUUAAAUGGAAUAUUUAAUAAAAUCUUUUUUAUCUAAAAAUAAUAAACAACAAUUGAAAUUAAAUAUGUUAAGGAUUAAACUGAAAUCUGAAUGAAAUUUCGAAAGUUUAAAUUGUAAACAAAUAGAAAAAGGGGUGGUUUGGGACUAAAAUGGGACACGCUCAAAGGAUGAGGGACCAACUAGGCAAUUUUCUAGCCUCGCAGUGCAGCGUUUCAAUGCGGGCCAAAAUGAAACAAAUGUAUAAUUUAUGUGGCCAAAAUAAAAAUAAACAAUAGGGACCAGAUUGCACCACGGCGCGAAAGCGGAGGAAUCUAUUGCGCAAAUAUCCCCCUAAUUGAAAACAAGCGAAUCCUCUCUGGUGGGUCGGGUCGUGCGUGGGUCAGAGACCAAAACGACAUUGUUUUGGUCUCUGAACCCAAACUCCAAAACAGUGUCGUUUUCUAAUGCUAUAAAAUCCAAAAAAAAAAAUUUAAAUCCUUCAUUUUUUCUUUUCUUCUAAAAAAAACAAAACUUUCUCUCAACUCAAACCCUCCCUCAAAAUCCAGCCUAGGUUUCCGGCCGUGGCCGCUGCCGUAGAGCCACGUGGCCGGUGGCUGGUGUUGCACAAAAAAAGUGUUUCAGCCUCGUUUCACAGUGCACUCCUAGGCCCGACCCUUUUCAACCCGAGAGGCCAAAAGAAAAAAAACUAUACCCCUUCUUUAAGCCCGAUUUAGACGACGGCGCAAGGAGUUCCGUCAAUGGAACCACUGGGCGAUUUAGGUACGUUCCUAUUUUCUUUUUAUUUUUGUAUAAAAUAAAUAUAAAAAAACAAUAUAUUUGAAAAAAACCUUUCAAAAAGUUUUAACCUUUUCUCUUUUUUGUAUUUCUUUUUAAUGUCUUCGUACAAAAAGAAGCCCCCAUUUUUCUUUUUACAACAUUCAACUUUAUAGCCGAAAGAAAAUAAAAACUCAAUUUUUGCUAUUGUUUAGUCUUGUCUACUUCUGCUUCUCUUGUUGCGUGUUUGCAGGUGACCGUGUAGCAGUGGCAGGAGGCGUCAGACGCACAUAGUAGCAAGUGGCGCGGCGCUGGAGGAGGGACUAGGGUUCUGAAACCCUAGUUCCUAUUGGGUUUGGGCCAUAUUUGUAUUUAACAAAACCAUAUCUGAUAUUGUAAAUAGAUUCAUGAUCACAACAAGACAACUAAUACCUUUGUAUUUUCUAAAAGAGAACUUAAUCAUUGAUUUUAGUAUAAGUUUACGUUUGUUUGUUGGUUUGUAGAUGUAUUUUGAUUCAAUUGAAUGAUAGUGUUUAAUUUUGUGUCCUAGGUAAUCACUCCCGUUUUUCAUAUGUAUUAUACAUCAUUUGUUUGUUGGUCUGUACAUGUAUUUGUGUUGCUGUUACGAGCAUUUCUUGUUUAUACAUUUUGAAUUGGCUCAAGUUUUCUUAUACUUCUUGCUCGUACUUAUUGAUUUGUAAUUUCAAUGAUUGUUUUCUGACCUUGUUUGAUUGAUUCUCUUUUAUGUCAGGCAGCUCGUUAUUGCUUUAGUUAGUGUUCCUUUGUUUGAGAUAUUCCUUACGAAGAAGUGACAUGGAUGGAGUUAGAAGGAUUUAAUGACGACUUCUUUUGUAGUGUAUUUGAUUAUCUUGUGGGUUAUAAAUCUAAGGCCAAAGCUUUUUUAACUAAAAGUACGAAGCAUAGAAAAAUUUGACUUCAAAAAUUUUCACAAGGUUGAAUAUAUUGAUGCUUUAAUAUGGUGUAGUACUAAUUAUGUGGUCUAAUACUAGUUAUGGACUUGGAAAAUAUUGUAGUUACCAUGUGAUAUACUACUAAUUAUGCACUUGGAUAAUAUUAUUAAUUUGUAGUAUUAAUUGUGGUUUGGAAGCUAAUUUAUUAUUAUUAUUUAAUCUUUGUUUUUUAUAACACAAUUAGUAAUCAUCUAUUCGCUUUGGUUGUUUUCAAUUUUUUUAUUGUUAAUAUUCGAGCUUAAUAAUCCAGUACUAUGAUAUAUUUAACUUAAUGUAUUUAUUUAUGAAUAAAUCAUUGCAAUAUAUAUAAAAAUAAUGUAAAUAUAAAAUAAACUCAAUUAAACAAUGAAAUAAUAAUAAAUUCUCAAAUGUUUGUUUUAUUUAAAAUAGUUUUCCUAAAAUAUUUUCAGGAAAUCUGCCAAACAACAGAAAAUAUUUUACACAGAUUCAUCCAAACACCAGAAAAUAUUAACUUUUCUAGAAAAGUAAGUUAUUUUUCAGAAACCAUUUUUAGUCAACCAAACAGACCCUAAGAUUCAAUCCUGAUUACUUUUUAAUAUAUAUAUUAACUAAGGUGCCCUUUGUUGACUUUUGACUACCCUUAUUUAAAUAAUGAAUUUGGAACAUGCUUUAUUAAUAUUUAAAUAAAUAUAAUUAUAUUUAUAAGAGAAUGUUUAUAUUCAUUCAUAUGUAAGGUGGCUUAUUCACAAAGGUAGAUAGACAAUGCCUUUCUGAAGGGAGUGGGUAGUUCAUUUACAAUAAUGAAUGACUUAUCCUCGAGAGGUCAAAACCCUUCCGAAAAGAUUGGAAGGUUGAAUGGGGCAUGCCCUCCAUGAUGUGGAUCGUUUGAUUAGUACCUUGGUAGUGGAAAGCAAAGAACUACCUUCUCAAGUGAUUUGCUAUACUGACUCCUGUUCAAAGAUAGAGGGCUAUAAUAAAGGCCAAAUUACUAAUAAAAGCCCAUUUUUUUAAUAAUUACGGAAAUGGGCCGGUUUUUUAAUUAUUUACCGGAAUGGGCCAUUUUUCGCGAAAUCGCAGCCACGUCAGCGCGAUGUCGGGGUACAUGACAGGAGAUCGCGUCCACGUCACGAUUUCCUUCCACGUCGGCAGGUCGCGCUGACGUGGACGCGAUUUGCCCCGCGCGUGCCAACGGUAACUUUUUUUUAACUAUAUAAACCCCCCACCCAUUUUAUUUUCACAAACAAAUUCUCUCAAUUUCUUCAAAAAUUCUCUCAAUUCCCUUCAAAAAUUCUCUCAAUUGCCUUUCAAAAUUCUCUCAAACUCUCAAAUUCCUUCCAAAAUCCUCUCAAUUUCCUUCAAAAAAUCUCCAAAUCCAUAUUAAAUUUAUUUUUCCAUUAAAUUUCAUUUUUUAAGAAAAUUAUACAAUUUUUUAUUUUUUUUAAAUAAUUUUAAAAUUUUUAAAAUUUUCAACAAUGGCCGGAUCAUUGAUUCGUCUUGAUAGGAAUCACAUAUCGGUGGAGCAAAUGAACAUGGUAAGUAUUAAAUUUAAAUUUUAAAUUGUAUUUAAGAUAUUUUUAUUUAUGUAUUUUUAGAUAUUUAUUAAUUUAUUUUUUGUUAUAAAAGGAUAAAGAUCGCGUAUUGGAAUGCAAUAUUCGGAAUAUGCAUGCUCCUCCAUCACCGUUAGUAGAGAACUACCUCCGGGAAGCGGGAUUUUGGCACGUGGCGACGGUAGGCCGGGGAUGCAAGUUGGAGCCGAAACUGAUCAGUGCGUUGAUCGAGAGGUGGAGACCCGAGACGCACACAUUUCAUCUUCCAUGUGGAGAGUGCACUAUAUCACUUUAGAAGAUGUCCAUCUACAUUUGGGAUUGCCGGUGGACGGGCACCCAGUGACCGGGUCUGCCCAAUCUAGUAAUUGGGAGGCGGUGUGCUACGAGCUUUUGGGCGCCGCUCCGGAUAAAAUGGAUGGAGAUAAGGUGGAGAUGGGCUGGUUACGUGCGACCUUCCCCGAUCUGAAUGAAGAUUCAACCGAAAUUGAAAGACUCCGAUAUGCUCGAGCAUACAUUCUUCAAAUAAUUGGAGGCUAUCUCAUGGCCGACACGUCACGGAGCCGUGUACAUCUAAGGUGGCUGCUAAAACUUGUUGAUUUUAGAGGAGCCGGUGAAUUUAGUUGGGGGUCUGCCGUCUUGGCAACAUUAUAUCGGGAGAUGUGUGGCGCGACGAAACUGAGGAGAGCAAAAAUCGGAGGAUGUCUGUCACUACUGCAAUCAUGGGCACGGUUUCGCUUUCCAUUUCUACAUCCUCGAGUGAACCACCCAUAGACAUUCCCACUCGUAACGAGGUAAAUUUUAUAUUACAUUUUGAAAUUGUUAUGUAGAUUUUGUAAGAAUAAAAGUAUGCUAAAAAUUUAUUUAGUUAGGUGGAACCAUCCGGCGAGUUAUCGUGGAUUACCGUCCGAACUUGAAGAUAUACGGCUUCUAUUGGACCAACGGUCGGAAGCAGAAGUAAGUAUUAUUGCAAAUAGAUAUUUCCAUACAUUCGCUAGUGGAUUGAUAUUUAGUAUUAUGUAUAUAAGUAAUAUUUCUAUCAUGUUCAUGUAGUUUCAAUGGACACCAUACGAGGAUCCGGCAAUCCGGGCAGUAAUCCCGGAAGAGUUUUUACAAAACCCUAACUCUUGGCACGUGAAAGUGGUGUUGAUCAACUACGCAACUGUGGAGCCCCACCAGACAGACAGAGUCCUACGACAGUUUGGAUGUAGACAACCGAUCCCUGCGGACCCUGAGGUGUUUGACGAGCACCACAAAAUCGACCUUCGGCUAUUAGGUACGGAUUGGCCUAGAUACUGGUCAGACUACACGGAAAUGUGGGAAAAUCGGCAUGAGUAUCUACCUACUCGGGAACAAAUCAUCGUUCCCGAGUUAGCGUGCGUUCCAGAAUACAUGCCAUGGUUUAGGAUCCAUGGGAAGCCGUAUUUACUUACGCCAGAGGAGAGGCGGCGGCAAAUACGUGUCGAAAGGGAAAGGCGCGAGCCUCUAAAUCCAAGGGGACAAGAGUACGAGGACAGCCCAUCAACGAGGCCCAGACAGUCAGCCGGCUCAUCAUCAACGGCCAUGGAAGCACCGUCCCCAACGAGAGCACCGACGCAGACACCUGAUGCAGCAAUUCAACAGAUGAUACCCACGCAAUCGCCUUUCUCUAUGAUGCCAGGUAAGUUUCCUAGCCCUUAUAUGUACCUUAACCCGUACAUGUAUCCUUUUCCGAAUCCUAUGGCAGGUUGGAACCAAAUGCCCGGAUCAGCUCCAUUUCCUGUAAUGCCGAGCGGACCACCGAUAACUAGGCCAUCGCCGCAGGAGGGGUCGCAAGGGGGGCUGUCGGGGAGCUCUCCUUUUUACCAAUCGCCAGCAACACAUGGCUUUCAAACUCCAUCGCCGUUCAUGAUGCAAACACCUCCACAUUCACUAUUCUUUGAAGGUGGAUCAUCGUCCCAAGUCUGACAAGCGGAUGCCGAACCGGAAGAACAACAAUCACCACCCGAGGAAGAACAACCGCCGCCGGAAGCUAGAGGAAGGAGGAAUCCAGCGCGUAACCGUCGACGGCCGCCAUGUGGAACCAAAUCCCCCGGUCAUAGACAUUGACUAUCGUAUUAACAUGUAUCAAUACCCAUGUAAUGAAAUAGAAGUUAAUGACGAUGUAAUACACAUAGAAAUUUUUCCGAGUUUGUUUGACAUUAUUUGAUUAAAAACCCUAACCUAACCUAAUUGAAUUAAAAACCCUAACCUAAUUGAAUUAAAAACCCUAACCUAACUUAAUUUAAUUAAAAACCCUAAAACCCUAACUUAAUUUAAUUAAAAACCCUAACCUAACUUAAUUUAAUUAAAAACCCUAACCUAACCUAAUUUAAUUAUAAACCCUAACCUAACAUAAUUUAAUUAAAAACCCUAAAACCCUAACUUAAUUGAAUUAAAAACCCUAACCUAACCUAAUUUAAUUAAAAACCCUAACCUAAUUGAAUUAAAAACCCUAACCUAACCUAAUUUAAUUAAAAUUAAAAACCUAACUUAAUUUAAAACCCUAACCUAACUUAAUGUAAAACCCUAACCCUAAGCUAAUAAACCCUAACCCUAACAUACAACAGCGGAUUUGAUAAUCUUACUAACCAUUCAAGAAAUUGUAGUUUUACAUAAUGUUGGAUUUCGUAAACUGUUUUGACUGGUACUAACAUUUAAGAAAUUGUAGUAAUUUGAUAAUUUUACUAACAAUUAAUACAAUUAUCAAUUAAUAAUUGAAUAAAAUGUAGCUUUUUCUAUAAUUGAAUAAAAGGUAGCUUUUUCUAUAAUUACAUUCAACUAUUGCGAUUAGGGCAUGAUCGACUUGAAUGGCCUGGGUUCCUACACCAUCCGCACAAUUUCUGUUGACUAUCUGUUUCUCGGAUAUCCAUAUUGUUCCGUAUUCUACUGGAGCAAGGUCGACCCUUCGGCUUGCGACGCAAUUCUCUAUCCGGUAACAGCUUAAAAGGAGCAAGAGAUACGGGCGGCCACUUACGUUCAUCUGGGACCGGUGGGAAAACGUGUCUCCAUACGUUGUACAUGUUUUCUAAUUUGUACACUUCGUCCACAUAACUAAGCGGAUCCAGGCGGAGUUUCUGACAGGCUAUAAUAACAUGAGCGCAUGGAUAACGAAGUGCAUCGAACUUCCCACAGUCACAAGUCCUGUUUCGCAAGUGUACACGAUAUUGCCCGCCAACAACACCUUGGUGCGGUAUGUCGAACUCCGUCACGCGAAACCAUAAAUUGUCUCAAUCGUGACACACAGCGUGCAUGAUGUUUGCCCUCGCCUUCGCCUUGUUAAUUUCUUGAACUACCUUACUGCACCAUACAUGCCCACCCUGCAUCUGGCCUGCAUAAGUUGCUGCUCGCUUUGGAAAUAGCGCCGCCAAACGGAAAUAUGUCUCUCGUACAACCGCUGUUAUCAGUAGAUGGCGCGUUCCUUUAAGAACAGAAUUUAUGCAUUCCGCCAGGUUCGACGUCAUAUGGCCAUAUCGUAGGCCUCCGUCGUAUGCUUGUGCCCACUGUUCGAAACGUAUAUUACAAAGGUAGUCUGCCCCUUCUAUGUUUUGGGAUCGCAAGAUUGCCAACAUCUCAUGAAAACAAUCUUUAUUCAUUUCAUAUCCUACCAAUAUAAGAACAUAGCGAAUAUUUUAUACCGCUUCUAGCAAUAAAACUAAUUCAAUUUGACAAACGAAAUAAUACAGUUAUACAGUAAAUACCCAUGUUGGUCACUUGUCGUCGUUCCGUCUUAGACGGAUAUUGCCUGUAGUAGUUCGAAGCAACGUGUCUCAGGCAAUAUCUAUGGUGUGUACGCUGCCAUAAGCUUCCCUCCCGAUCAAAUGCAGCUAGUAUCCCGGCGCCCCGAUCUGAAAUAACACAGAUAUCAGGUUGGGGGCACACAUGCAUCCUUAACCUAGAGAGAAAGAAAUCUCAGUCAUCAGACGACUCCCCCGGUGUUAUUGCAUAUGUAAUUGGAAGAAUUCUCCCACCGCCGUCCUGUGCCACUGCAACCAAUAGCCGAUGAGUGUACCUACCGAACAUGAAGGUACCGUCAAUUUGUACCAACGGCUUGCAGUACGGAAAUGCGUCUCGGCAUUGCUUAAAGGUCCAAAAUAGGCGUUUGAACACUUGGCAUCCACGUAGCAAUCGGCCGUUGUAGUACGCAUGUUCCGUUUGAAGGUCUGUGAUGGCACCUGGGACGUAUCUCUCUAGCACCUGACACCAUUGUCAUAUUUCAUUAUAUGAGGCGUCCCACCCACUAUGCAUCUUCUCCAAUGCCUUUUGCUUAGCUAUCCAAGCCUUGCGGUAAGAGGGCGUGUACCCCAUUUGGCUACGGAUAUUGGCAAUUAUCACCGGCACUGAAGUUCGAGGAUCUGCUUUUAUCGUGGGUAGUAUCAAGCUAGCCAACAUAGCUGAAUCCAUUUUUGGAUGAUCUUCUGAAACACCUACAGAGGGAGGGAGUACAUUAAAUAAUGCAACAUUAGAAAAUAAAAAUAUUAUUCAGAGACAUGCUCAAUUGUACCUGCAGCACAUGUAUGUGGACCUCUGUACUUUUUUAUCUCCCACAACCCUGUCCUCUUCCUUAACGAGGCGACGACUUUCCAUGAACAUGUGCUGUCUUACACCGCACACUUCGCCUCAAACUUUUCAGAUUUUGAUUUAACGACGUGGUAAUUAACGUCGUUUUUGAUGCUAUGCUGUUUCAAAGCACCAAUAAAACUAUCCUUAUUGGUAAAUUGAUUACCAACUUCAAGUUCACCGAGAUCUACCCCCAAACUUGUACGAUCACGCACCCGGUGUGGUAGAUUUGGAAACUCUAACGCAUCAUCAUUUGACAGAUCGACAUUAUGCAUGUGGGCUGGAGGUGAGUAUGCUCUGAAUCGUGGAUUUUCUUCAUCAUCUGCACUCCUAUCACCAUCUUCACCUUCUGUUGGAAUAGGCUCCGGUUCAGAAAAUAAUCCCACCUCUGCACCAUCCGGCCCGGGCUCUCGAGGUGAAUCAACAUCAGAGUCACCUUCUGACCCACAAUCAUCUGCAGCGUACGACGUCCCCUCACCGGUUGAUGUCGUAGGUAGUACGUCAUCCCUUCUUCUGGGCAUUUGAUAACGUCCCCAAUUGGAUGUAGAUUGCCAUCUAGUAGAACUUGAUGCAGAACCCCAGCUCGUAUUUCCUGCGUCAAACGUCGAGCCACCGACGUACAUGUCCCAUCCAUCGACAGAGUGUCUUGGGGGGGAAGUGCAUUCGACACCGCUACCGAACAUAGGCUGUUCCGUAUUUUGUAACACGCUAACCGAGUGUCGGCCAGGGGUCGUGUAUACAUCUCGAACACCGGACAGAAGUACAUUAUUUGGCGACGUAAACUGUACAUAUAACUCAAUAUAAGUUGCUCCGCUAGCAAGAUGAGUCUGCACCAUUGCCUCCAAGCUACGAGCACCUUUUACGUCGAACGAGUCAUAUGUCACCGGAUCAACAGAAGAACAAAAUCGAUACGUCAUUGACAGAACUUUCAUUGGCGUCGUUCCGAAGAUUUUACGCCUAAUUCUUUUACAAAGUUCUGUCAAAUCUAUGUUUUGGCUAAAUGACAGUCGCACCGUAUUCUCCGACAAAAAAAUAACACCAUUCUCGGUGUGGCAAACCUCACCAUCGUAGUAAAUAACAGCACUAAUACGUUCACUCAUUUUGAAACUCUAAGUUUCUUAGCCUCUCUAAAAUGUUUCUGCUGUGAGUUAUGCAUUCUAUGGAACAUUUUCUGCCUAAUUUAUAGCCUCAGCCCAAACUUGCUACUAUAGCAAAAUCGCAUCCACGAGGGCGCGAUUUGACACUAUUUGCUCAGAAACGUCAAAAAAAUUAUUUCCAAAAUGACAAACUGUAGCGAAAUCGCGUCUACGAGGGCGCGAUUUAACAAUUUCUGCCUAAUAUAGCAUCCUUGUAUCAGCGAUUUUAUACUAUUUGCUCAGAAAACGUCAAAAAAAAUUUAUUUCUUACAUGACCACUAUAGCGAAAUCGCGUCCACGAGGCCACGAUUUCACAAUUUCUUCUCAAAUAGCAUCCUAGUAGAAGCGAUUUCCCACUAUUUGACCGGAUACGUCAACUCGAAAAUUUUUUUCUCAGGACCCCUAACCCCUAAAAAGCCUGCACCCUAAACCCUAAAAGCCAGAAAACACAAACGUAAAAUCAGCGUCAAAAUCGCGUCCCCGGUACCGCGCUACGUCGGUAAAUCGCGUCCACGUCAGCGCGAGCUGCUGACGUGGAAGGAAAUCGCUUCCUCAAGGACACGAUUUCCUUCCACGUCGGCAGGUCGCGCUGACGUGGACGCGAUCUCCUAUCAUGUACCCCGACAUCGCGCUGACGUGGCCGCGAUUUCGCGAAAAAUGGCCCAUUCCGGUAAAUAAUUAAAAAAACUGGCCCAUUUCCGUAAUUAUUAAAAAAAAGGGGCUUUUUUUGGUAAUUUGGCUUAUAAUAAACUUAAUUUAAAAAAGAAAGUAUUUUGAAACUGAAAGAGCUAAUCAAAAACUCAAAAUACUUCCUUUUCUUUUAAUUAUAUUUAAAGUGACUCCCUUUUUAGAAUUAAGUUUUAAUAAUAAAUUAUAUUAAUUAAUAAAUACAAUAAAAUAAAUAUCAUUUUAAUUUACAUUUGUUUUUUAAACAAGCAAAUUUAUUAUUUCUUCUCAUUUUAGUUAAGAAUAAAAUAAGGGAUUAAUUUUUGGUAAAAAUAUAAUUUUUUAUACCUUUAUUUCAUUUUUAAUAAUUAUAUUUCUACAUUUACAUUUGUUUUUUAAACAAGCUCGUUAUGUCCUCGAAUGAUUCAUAAGAAAAUUACAUGAGAAUACGUUAUAAAGAGCAUAUAAAGUGGUGUAGUGAAUAAUAUCAGGGGGAAAUUACCCUUCAUCUCAUCACCCAAUUCUACAACUUCUUCCACUUAACCUACCUUAUAGAGAGCAUCAGCCACUACGUUAAGAAAUAUCCCAAAUAUGUUCUUCCAUGCAUAUAAAGCCCUUUCAUAUAGCCAUAUCAACGUUCCCACAAUGUAUCAAACGAUUCAUAAGAAAAUUUACAUGAGAAUACGCGUGUAACAAUUGCUUGACUUUAAGUUCGAAACAAGAUAUUAAUAACUUUACCAAACAUUAAUGUAUGCCUACACAAUAAAGUGAAGGAUUAUUCUCCUGAGUUUUUAUACAUAGGAAGGAUUAGGUAAUCUUAAACAAGAACUGAUGCAAACUAAUUAUAACGGUGAUUUGGGACUGAAAUACUUUCCUAUCACUCUUGAAUCUAAUAUCUUCAUGGCUUCCUCAGAUUUAAUGCAACUAGGUUUUUUGUAUUGGCUCAAUGAAGUUCCUUUGGACACAUAGUAAUCCAUUAGUGCCUCAAAACUUCCUUGCUUUACCACCCUAAUCUCCAAAGCUGCAAUUAUGUUCCUUUUCCUAUAGAUUUUAUAUGUAUAAUGCAAUGACUCUUCCAUUCUAGAGCAACACUCUACCAUUAUCUUUGGGUCAAGUUCUUUGCAAUGCGUGCCUUCUUUUCCCUUGAUCUCCCAAAAUAAUACAUAGUGACCUGGUGCAGAAGAAGUAUCAACGUAGCUAGUGUACUCUGUCAAGAUGAAUCCGAGUGGAUCGAGAAGAGCCUUUGCUUCUGUCACAGCCUUGAAAAGGUCUGUUUCGCUUGUUUUUUCCUGAUCAACACUUAGGAUAACAUUUUUCCUCUCCACAAAUUGGAAUUGAGGUGCAUUAUUGUAGAAACCACUCACCAUAAGAACAUCUCCAACUUUAUAUCGAUAUAAUCCUGAAAGGAAUAUCAUCAAACUAGAUUAGAUCAUUAUCUAAGAGGUUAAUGUAGGAACUAGGAAGCAUAAUGCAAACUAGAACAUGGCAUUUGAUUAAUUGAUUAUAUUCAAAACAGGAACUUUUACCUGCACAAGUUGUGACAACUAGUUCAUAACACUGACCAGCCUUCACAUUUACAAGAUCAACAAGUUCAGUAUCUUCAUUGUUGCUCUUCAUUUCAAUAGAUCCAUCACGUUCAUUCUUUACUGGAAGGAAUUCGAAGUAAGCCAUGUUAGGGAGAAAUGUGUAGGAGAUAUCACAAGGUUUGCAUAGAGGUUCUAAGUUCAUCCCACAAAUAGCUUCCGAGCAAGCAUAUAAAUCUGAAACUAAAGGGAGCCCUCUGCAAUAGAACUCGAGUUCUGCAAUAUACUGUCUCAUAAUGCCAGUACAAAUGCACCAAAUAUACCUUGCUUUAGGCCAUAACUUUCUGAUUAUUCCUUCCCAUGAUUUACAAUUACAUAUAGUUUCUAUCAAGUCAGCCUGUUCUGGAUUAGGCUUCAUGACCAAUGAUGCUGCAUUUCUGCAUCCUGAGUCGGUGAUCCAAUCGCUUAAUCGACCUGUUUUUAUGUCAUAGCAUAGCUCUUG